RNAcentral lists this ribosomal RNA (751 nucleotides) under uncultured Raoultella sp. RNAcentral's name for it is "bacterial SSU rRNA". It matches the Rfam family "Bacterial small subunit ribosomal RNA", at positions 13 to 755 of the family's 1533-position model. The record is from RNAcentral. Lineage: Bacteria; Pseudomonadati; Pseudomonadota; Gammaproteobacteria; Enterobacterales; Enterobacteriaceae.
UUGAUCCUGGCUCAGAUUGAACGCUGGCGGCAGGCCUAACACAUGCAAGUCGAGCGGUAGCACAGAGAGCUUGCUCUCGGGUGACGAGCGGCGGACGGGUGAGUAAUGUCUGGGAAACUGCCUGAUGGAGGGGGAUAACUACUGGAAACGGUAGCUAAUACCGCAUAAUGUCGCAAGACCAAAGUGGGGGACCUUCGGGCCUCAUGCCAUCAGAUGUGCCCAGAUGGGAUUAGCUAGUAGGUGGGGUAAUGGCUCACCUAGGCGACGAUCCCUAGCUGGUCUGAGAGGAUGACCAGCCACACUGGAACUGAGACACGGUCCAGACUCCUACGGGAGGCAGCAGUGGGGAAUAUUGCACAAUGGGCGCAAGCCUGAUGCAGCCAUGCCGCGUGUAUGAAGAAGGCCUUCGGGUUGUAAAGUACUUUCAGCGAGGAGGAAGGCAUUAAGGUUAAUAACCUUAGUGAUUGACGUUACUCGCAGAAGAAGCACCGGCUAACUCCGUGCCAGCGGCCGCGGUAAUACGGAGGGUGCAAGCGUUAAUCGGAAUUACUGGGCGUAAAGCGCACGCAGGCGGUCUGUUAAGUCAGAUGUGAAAUCCCCGGGCUCAACCUGGGAACUGCAUUUGAAACUGGCAGGCUUGAGUCUUGUAGAGGGGGGUAGAAUUCCAGGUGUAGCGGUGAAAUGCGUAGAGAUCUGGAGGAAUACCGGUGGCGAAGGCGGCCCCCUGGACAAAGACUGACGCUCAGGUGCG